CCCUUAGAUGUUCUGGGCCGCACGCGUGCUACACUGACCGGUGCAACAAGUUUCUUUCCUUGGCUCGAUAGGCCUGGGUAAUCUUUGAACACCGGUCGUGAUCGGGAUAGAUUCUUGUAAUUUUUGAUCUUAAACGAGGAAUUCCUAGUAAACGCAAGUCAUCAGCUUGCAUUGAUUACGUCCCUGCCCUUUGUACACACCGCCCGUCGCACCUACCGAUUGAAUGGUCCGGUGAAAUCUCCGGACUGGCGUGAGUCGGAGCAAUCUGACAAACGCCGGAAAGUUGAUUAAACCUUACCAUUUAGAGGAAGGUGAAGUCGUAACA
This 325-nucleotide ribosomal RNA is filed under the name uncultured eukaryote. RNAcentral's name for it is "partial 18S ribosomal RNA". It matches the Rfam family "Eukaryotic small subunit ribosomal RNA", at positions 1470 to 1796 of the family's 1831-position model. The record is from RNAcentral.